AGUGCCGCAUAUAACGCCAGCUUAACCACCUUUUUUCUAGCCAUACAGGGAAGUCCAUCCAUCCAUCCAUCUUCUACUGCUUACCCCUUUUCAGGGUCAUGGGGAACCUGGAGCCUAUCCCAGGCAGCAUCGGGCACAAGGCGGGGUACACCCUGGACAGGGUGCCAGUCCAUCACAGGGUACAAUCACAUACACACCCAUUCAUACACUAUGGACACUUUAGACAUUAUGAUAGAAGAUACAAACUACUUGCUUGAGAAUGGUCUUGCUGUGCCUAGCUGUAGUCCCUGGUGCUCACCCUGCCUACUAGUUCCAAAGCCUGACAAAAGCUAUAGGUUCUGCACAGAUUAUAGAAAAGUCAAUGCUUUAACUAAGGUAGACUCGUUUCCCCUCCCAAGAAUGGAAGAUUGUGUUGACUGAAUUGGAAAUGCAAAGUUUGUCACAAAACUGGACCUUCUAAAGGGUUACUGGCAGGUUCCACUCAACCCACGUGCAUCUGAGAUUUCUGCUUUCGCUACACCAGACAGGUUCCUCCAAUAUACGGUCAUGGCUUUUGGUCUGAAAAAUGCUCCAGCUACAUUUCAGCGGCUAAUGGCACAGGUAUUGGUAGAUGUAGAAAACUGUGAAGCUUACCUUGACAAUGUAGUCGUUUUUACAGACACCUGGGAUAGUCAUAUUUGUGUGUUAGCCCAUGUGUUUGCUCGUCUCCAGACAGCCUCUCUUGCUCUGAACCUCACAAAAUGUGAGUUUGGUCAUGCCACCAUAACCUACUUCGGUAAACAGGUUGGACCUGGUGCUGUUCGCCUACUGGAUGCUAAAGGUAAGUCCAUUGCCACUUUUCCUUCACCUACGACAAACAGAGAACUUCGAUGCUUUCUUGGGAUGGCUGGGUACUAUAGAAGUUUUUGUACGAAUUUUUCAGAUGUUGUGUUGCCUCUCACAAAUCUCCUCCGUAACUCAGUUUCUUUUGUGUGGUCUUCUAGCUGUAAGGCUGCUUUUGAGGCUGUUCAGAUGUUGUUAUAUAGUGCAUCUGUUGUUUCUGCUUUGUGAAGCUCUUCAAACUUGAAGUAGAUGCUAGUGGUAUGUGUGCCAGUGCUGUCUUGAUUCAGGAAGAUGCUCAGGGCAUAGAUCACCUGGUUAGCUUCUUUUCUCACAAGUUUAACCGUCAUCAGUUGAACUACAGCACUAUUGAGAAGGAGGCCCUUGCCCGUUUGCUUGUGCUCCAACAUUUUGAAGUUUAUACUGGUUCUCGCUCUGACCCUGUUACUGUUUUUACAGACCACAACCCCCUAGUGUUUUUACAUCGUAUGUCAAACAGCAACCAACGGCUCAUGCGGUGGUCCUUGAUUGUGCAAGGUUUUAACAUAACAAUUCAGCAUAAGAAAGGGUCUGAAAAUGUUGUGGCUGACUAUCUCUGUGUUAUUUUAAUGACAGUUGUGAACCUAACGUUCACUCUUAAGGGAGGGGGAGUUAUGUUAUCCAAUGUAUUUCCGUUUGCUCUAUGUGCUAUUUGUGUGCACUAUGUCGGUGGUGGGAUGGGUUUCUUUUGUCUCCACCUCCUUCUCUAGGCCCCGCCUACUGCAUGCGUCACGUUAUGGCUUGCUAGUGGAUGAUCACGUCUUGUCCAGGCCUGCUCCAGACUUGUGCGACAGGAUUGGUUGUCUGCACGGUUCCGGAAGUGUACUUAAGCCUCGUCAGUCUCCAUCCCAGGGCAGAUCAUUGCCAUUUGCUUUGUGUAUAGAGAGAAGUGCUUUUCACCGGUGUACGACCUUAUGCCUGAUUGGACUCUUUUUAUGCUCUGCCCCGUUACGAUUCAGGUGAUACACUUGUGCAUAUACGUACAGUAUCUCACAAAAUUUAGUACACCCCUCACAUUUUUGUAAAUAUUUGAUUAUAUCUUUUCAUGUGACAACACUGAAGAAGUGACACUUUGUUUAUUUAAAAUAAAUUCCACAAAAUGAGUGUUAGAAAUAUAAACGUCAGACUAAAACUUUACACAACUGUUUGUACAAAACAGAAAAGAACCCUAUGCACACACCAGAAUAAAUAUUAUUAAUUAAAUAAAAUUUAUUUUAUAGUAUUUAUGCAUUAUUUUUAUGGAUGCACAAAAAAGCACCCAAUUAAACUACAGUCCUAUAUUAAUAAUAAAAACUCCCUUUCACUGCACCUUGUGGUUUCUGUUACUCGCUGCCUUUAGGAAUAUUGUUUUACUUGUGUUUAUUUUUGAUGAUAAUGUUUUAAUUAGACAUUACAGAUCUUGCUCGCACUCUAUCAGCGUGUCUACACCGCGUGUGAUCAGAAAUGCGACCUCGUUACUAACACAUCACUUCUGUUAUAAUAAACAAAAGAAUUUACACUGCAUUUACAUGGCAAGCAUGCAAAUACAACAUAUAAUUACAAUUAACUUAAAUUAAAGUAAACCUUUUAAGCAGCUUGCACUAGUUUCCCCUGCCCCUUACACAUAGUGGAGUAUUUUGGAACAUAACUUUAUCCUCGUGCAUCAUUUUAAUUUCCACGGUGUUUAAAAUGCUGCUUAGAGGACUUGGAUGUUGGACUUGGAGGAGACUGAGGUCAUGUUGGGAAUAAAAGGUAAUGCUGACAGAAAGUAAACUGAAGAAAGUCAUUAUCGGUGACUCUGGGUGUUUGCUAAUGCUAAUGCUAAUGCUUUUUUUUAGUAAAAAAGAUGCUUUAGUAAAAAAUAAUGCUUUUUUUUAGUAAAAAAAAAUGCUAGUGUUAUAUUUGAGAUGAUAUUACCUUUCUAAAAUCCACACACUAGACGGUAGAGUACACAGUGCAUACUGUAAGUGUACAGUACUUCAUUUGGGACACAACUUUAGUAUUUACUCUCCAAACUGUGUUUUCUGAAGAGAAGUAACGUAUUGAGUAAACAUGCCCCAUGCAGCACGCAGACCAACUAAUGAGAUUCCUUGACAACGGAUCUUCCUAAUCGAUUAUUAUCGAUUUUAUCGAUUAGUUGUUGCAGCUCUAAAUUGAAUACAUUGGCCAUGCUGUCAAUGGAAAAGAAUGACUGAGAUGAAGGACUUUAAUCAGAAAGUAAUUGAGAAUUUUGCAAAGCAGAAAGAAAGAAGGGCAAAAUUUAUUUUCAAGUAGUGUUACUGGCCAUUGUUUAGGCAACAUUACUGUGUUGGUUUUUUUGAGUGAUUACUGUAAUUACUUUUUUACUGAUAAUAAACCCACAUUAAACUCAAAUUCGUGGUCAUUUAUUACAUUCUUUAACAGCCAAAUUUUCCAUUUUUAGCUAAGCAGUGAUGAUAUUUUGUUAUUUCACAUAUUAGAUGGCUGUUUAACAAUUACAUUCAGUCCCGCAUUACUAACGGUGUGAAUUUCAGUUUGUUAGCCCCCCCAGAAUAGUUUUAUCCAAAUUUUCAAAGAUGAUUUCAAAGAUAAAUCCUGGCUCAGUAGAAGUGAUGAUGGUUGUGUAACAGGUAUGGAAAGUAUUCCAUACAUUUAAUGUGUAGAAUUACACAAAAGGAAACAUAUACCUGAUGUAGCUGUCUACUUAUGUGAGUACUUUCCCUUUUAAUUGUCAUGAUGUCAUUGGUCUGUGUAAUUUCCUGUUUUGGCUUCUCCUCUUCCCUUUCACAUUAUAAUUGAAUGGGAGAGGUACGUUUAAUUUUGAGUUCUCAGUAAUCUUGUUUCAUCUUUAUUUAAAUCAUUAUUUAUAUACACAGCAAAUUGAACAGAGUUAAAUUUUUGGUGUUGGUGAACAGAGAGUCAAUCUAUCUCUACUUGGAAUUGAUCUAACUCUUUAUGUUGUCUAAACUGUUAGAUUUCACACUGUACCACAAAAGAGUUGGUGUCAAAAUGGAGUGUUAUAACUGUUUUCUAGAAAUCAACUCUGAUAGUGUCACUGCUAUGGUGGACCUGCCAGAUAAGAUACCUCUGUUUGGGUCUUUUCUUAAACAGGAACACUACCAUGAUCCUGAGGGUAAUGCUCUCUUCAUUGCAUGGAGGAUCAAGACAGUUCAACGUAACACCUGUGCUGGCUACAGGUGUCAUUCCAAGACUGUUCUUCGGGAUGGUCCAAAAACCAGACGAGAAUUUCUGUUAACCUAUCAACAGCUAUUUGGUGAGGAGUGCAGGGAGGCGAUAUCUACAAUACGACAUUCUACUGAUGAAUCUGUGGUCAAAGAGAAGAUGAGAGCAACUUUCCAGUAUUGACAGAAGAUGGUCGGUGAGGAUGCAUCAUCUUCAGUCCUGGAUUUGUUUCCCUGAUGUACUUGGAUUGAUCGACCAGGAUUUCUCCGUGAUGUUUGGUGACGAAGUGUCUCAGAAGUUCCUGGCAAAGUGGUCAACAUUUUUCAAGCAAAAAAUCAUUGCAGACUGCAAGACUCUUAAGAAUAUGGGCGAGCUGCUGUCAGGAACUGAACCUGAAUCUGAGGACUACAACGGAUGGACCAGCGAUAUGUCUCCAAUCCUUUUGCUGCUGCAUCUGCUCCCUCUAACCUCAAGAGGCUAACCUCAAGAAAAAAACAUCCAAGAUCAGUUCAGCUCAAGCGACCAGCCAUCUUGUGAGAUAUUAAGGAAGGAGCCAGUGUGACUACCUUCAUUGAGAGUGCUGACACAAGACAACCAUUCCUCCUCUGCAUUGGUGAGCGAAAGAAGGAUAUCCAAAAGUUCUAUUUUAGAUUAUUAUCGACCUAAAACGAUCCCAUGUAAGGCGCACACAUCAGUGGCAGCUUUUGAUGAACUGUUCAAAGCUCACUAUGUCUUCAGUUUCUCAUAUGAUGAAGCUCUUUGUGAUUUCUACACAUUUAUCCAAACCACCAUCUAUAACAUCUAUGUCGGAAGAGCAAAGGAGAGCCCGCGUGUUAAAGAACUUCGAGCACGAUUGCUACAGCGAGAUUAACAGCCUUGAAGAUGUUCACAUGUUUUGUAUGUAAAGCGCACCUCAGAACUUGUUUGGUUCUUUGUCAACAUUUAAAAUUUCAAUAUGGUUAAUAUCCUAGCAAAAAGUUACAUUUAAAAUGUGGAGAGCCAGGUCGCCUGUUAUCAUUUUGUAUUUAUAGUGGCUUCCGAAAACACCUCAGUAGUCACACUAUGGAUCAAGAGAUUGAUACUAAUCAGGAUGUUUCCACUCAGGGAGAAUAUGAGGCGGAAUGUUCAAAUGAUCGCACAAAUUCUGUUGCCACAUACUUCACAAAGUUCUGUUGUUACAAGUCAGCUAUCUUCAAUGUGUGGAUCAAUUGUUGCUCAUUUACAAGCAUCAGGUCUUUCUGAACGUGCUGUCCAAACAAUUGAUUGUUCAAUGGAAGAAGUUGUUAAUGAUGUUAAAAGCCAAGCACGAGAUGCAGUUCUUAAAACUGUUACUCCUGAAAGUACAAGUUCAGACACUUGUAGAAGAAUAGAACACUGUUUUGAUCAAUUAGGUAAUCCUUUUCCAGCAUUAAACACUGAGUCAAAGAGGCAUAAAUAUGAUGAGAAAUGGGAAAUAGUUGAACCUAAAGAAUGUGUUCUUGGGGUGAGAAUGGAUUUGUGCAGAGCUAGAACUAUAGGUAUCUGUAGUCAGGUUCCCGUAACGGACAAGUGGACAAACAGAGUGGAACUGGAGUUUACAAAAACAUUAAUGAUGGGUUGUAUUUCCAAAACCAUGCACUGUUCUCACAGCAAAAGCAUGCUUUACAGAUUCUACUCUAUUAUGACGAUUUUGAAACUGCUAACCCUCUAGGUUCCAAGAGGUGGAUCCACAAACUUGGUUGUAUCUGUUUUACUCUAAAAAAAAUCUUCCACCCAAGUGUAACUCGGUACUGAUUAGUGUACAUCUUGCAGCUCUAUUCUACACAGAAGUUCUUAAGACAAAUGGUUUUGAUGUGAUAUUAAAGCCUCUUAUUGAUGACCUGAAAAUCUUAGAAGCCGAGGGCAUACAGCUUACUUGUUUUGAACAACCAUUGUUUGACUCAGUAAUUCAAGUAACAGGAGAUAAUUUGGCUUUAAAUGGCUUGCUGGGAUUUGUGGAAUCUUUCAGUGCAACUAAUUUCUGUCUUAUUAGGCCUUGCCUUUCUCAAUCAUUAGCUCAAAUUUGACCUAUUCUCAAACCAGACAGUUCUUGGAGAUUUGUACACUGACUUAUUCACUUGUAGUGGCUUCUACUCCUGAUGUACUGGCAUUUCUUUUGCCAGAGGCUAUUAUUCGAUGUGUCCAAUGGUUUCUGGUUCUGAUAUGCAGAACCGAUAUUUAUUUAUUGUUUUACUUCUGUUUUUGACACAAUGAUAAUUCUCAAUUUCACUUCCUCCUCGUAUUUAAAACAAAACUUUUAUUUAUAUACUAAUAAAUAGAGGGGUCUGAAAGAGUGCAAAAAAGUGCAGUUACUAAAGUGUCUUUUAUAAAUAAAA
This is a long non-coding RNA of Ictalurus punctatus (channel catfish), 6353 nucleotides long. RefSeq lists it as uncharacterized. The transcript is spliced from 4 exons. Lineage: Eukaryota; Metazoa; Chordata; Actinopteri; Siluriformes; Ictaluridae. The record is from RefSeq and is a predicted model, not a curated record.